GGUUGUAAAGCCCUUUCGGCAGGGAAGAAAUCGGCGGGGCGAAUAACCUUGCUGGAUGACGGUACCUGCAGAAGAAGCACCGGCUAACUACGUGCCAGCAGCCGCGGUAAUACGUAGGGUGCGAGCGUUAAUCGGAUUUACUGGGCGUAAAGCGUGCGCAGGCGGCCCGUUAAGACAGGUGUGAAAUCCCUGGGCUCAACCUAGGAAUUGCGCUUGUGACUGGCGGGCUCGAGUACGGUAGAGGGGGGUGGAAUUCCUGGUGUAGCAGUGAAAUGCGUAGAGAUCAGGAGGAACACCGAUGGCGAAGGCAGCCCCCUGGGCCUGUACUGACGCUCAUGCACGAAAGCGUGGGGAGCAAACAGGAUUAGAUACCCUGGUAGUCCACGCCCUAAACGAUGGGUACUAGCCGUUUGGUGCGCGGUAGCGCUGAGUGGCGAAGCUAACGCGUGAAGUACCCCGCCUGGGGAGUACGGCCGCAAGGUUGAAACUC
RNAcentral lists this ribosomal RNA (490 nucleotides) under uncultured bacterium. Its description in RNAcentral is "bacterial SSU rRNA". It matches the Rfam family "Bacterial small subunit ribosomal RNA", at positions 421 to 902 of the family's 1533-position model. The record is from RNAcentral.